GCCGGAUUCGGUUCCGGCACGGCCGCUCAUCGUGCCCGCCCUGCUCCCGCGGUUUACAGCGGGCAUAGAGCUGUCCCCUGCACGUCUCCCCGGCGCGUCUCCUGUCCCCUCUUCUCCUUUUAGACUCAGCACCGCCACUGGGCCGGCCCGAGCUUCACGCCUCACGCGGGCUCCCCUUCUCCCGGCACCGGGGCACCGGCACCGCAGCCCAGUUGUGUUUGGAGCUGGGGCUGUACAAGGAGGAGGAGAAUGAGAAGAAAGAAGAUGGAGGAGCGGACAUCCUGCCUGGCGAGAUAACACAAGAUGCUGACCACUGACCUCUCAGGAGGGUACCGUCCUUCAGAAACCGGUGAGCGUGGCUCCCCACAUCACCUCUGGCUCAGGGAACACGGAGCUGUGGAGAGAAUGCGGACUUCAGACAGUUGUAAAGAGAUGGAUUUCAGCCGGAGUGCCUCUCUGUGCGGCCUCAUUUGUUAAGUGGGUUUAAUAAAACCUCUCUGA
This is a long non-coding RNA of Myotis brandtii (Brandt's bat), 501 nucleotides long. RefSeq lists it as uncharacterized. NCBI's taxonomy places the organism in Eukaryota, Metazoa, Chordata, Mammalia, Chiroptera, Vespertilionidae. The record is from RefSeq and is a predicted model, not a curated record. The transcript has 3 exons.